RNAcentral lists this ribosomal RNA (485 nucleotides) under uncultured bacterium. Its description in RNAcentral is "SSU rRNA". It matches the Rfam family "Bacterial small subunit ribosomal RNA", at positions 26 to 523 of the family's 1533-position model. The record is from RNAcentral.
AGGACGAACGCUGGCGGCGUGCCUAACACAUGCAAGUCGAACGAGGUUCAUUCAGUAGCAAUACUGGAGAAGACCAAGUGGCGAACGGGUGAGUAGCACGUGAGCAACCUACCCCGAAGACCGGGACAACACCGGGAAACCGGUGCUAAUACUGGAUAUCCCCAUCGGAUCGCAUGGUUUGAUGAGGAAAUGGAUUCCGCUUCGGGAGGGGCUCGCGGCCUAUCAGCUAGUUGGUGAGGUAACGGCUCACCAAGGCGUCGACGGGUAGCUGGUCUGAGAGGACGAUCAGCCACACUGGGACUGAGACACGGCCCAGACUCCUACGGGAGGCAGCAGUGGGGAAUCUUGCACAAUGGGCGAAAGCCUGAUGCAGCAACGCCGCGUGAGGGACGAAGGCUUUCUGAGUUGUAAACCUCUUUCAGCAGGGACGAUUAUGACGGUACCUGCAGAAGAGCACCGCCAACUCGCGCCAGCAGCCGCGGUAA